CCAACUAGGGGGCAAAACCCAUAACUCAGGCACGUGUCCUGAAUGGGAAUGGAACUGGUGACCUUUCACUUCGAGACAUAAUGCCCAACCAACUGAGCCACACCAGCCGGGGUGCAAGAGGGAUGCUUUUAAAACAGGGCCAACAGCUGCCAAACAUCUCAGAGGUGGGAAAGUGAAAGAAGAGUGAAGUGAAUUGGCUGAAGUUCCUUCGAAGGGUACAACCGUGGAAUCAGAACUCCAGAGCUUCCUGCGUAGGGCUGCUGUGUAGGCUGAAUCUCUGUGACAUCCCUUCCUGCCUUCCUCCUUUGUGAACUGUCUGAGGAUUCUGUCCUUGAAGCAACAUAUUCUCUCAGAGCAUUCAGGAGAUGGAAGAAGCAAUAAAGUUUGCCAUCAUUCCUUGUUCCCAUUCUUCCAUAUACUGUAUAUAAAUUGGAACGUCUCAACAAGUGCCAUAUUACCCUGUUUCCAAUUCGAGGCUUCAAAAUUGACAGAAAUAUGUGUAAGAUAGGGAAAGACAUGAAGUCUGCUAUAGGUGUUUUGUUGAAAGAGAUGAAUUUUUUAUAUCCUGGGUCAAUUUACUAUGUAAGAUUCAGAAUGUGUGAGAGACC
Molecule: long non-coding RNA, 608 nt
Organism: Artibeus jamaicensis (Jamaican fruit-eating bat)
Lineage: Eukaryota; Metazoa; Chordata; Mammalia; Chiroptera; Phyllostomidae
Exons: 3
Source: RefSeq, a predicted model, not a curated record